This 319-nucleotide long non-coding RNA is filed under the name Selaginella moellendorffii. RNAcentral describes it as "long non-coding RNA (SMOE_LNC000981)". Lineage: Eukaryota; Viridiplantae; Streptophyta; Lycopodiopsida; Selaginellales; Selaginellaceae. The record is from RNAcentral.
AAGGAACGUGAAAGAAAAACGUUCGGUAAGCAACAGUCUUGGAGAUCACCGAGGGAAAAAGAAGCGCCUCUUUCACCUGAAACGUAGAGCCCAGAGCUCUGCUGUAAAUGUUUUGUGAUUCCUACCUUGGACGCUGCGCAAAUGCCAUGCUCACACUGUGUCAUAUAACAGCUUGUCCUCUGCACGAAAGUCAUUGGUGUCAAUUGCGAUGCAACCUUUAUAGAAUCGUGGCCCACUCGAUAUGGAUGUUUGAUGUUUGUCUUGCAAUGCCUUUCCAAAAAUGCGAUCGGCCUGCCUUCCCAAAUAUAAUUGCCAUCCC